Bactrocera neohumeralis is the source of this 680-nucleotide long non-coding RNA. RefSeq lists it as uncharacterized. NCBI's taxonomy places the organism in Eukaryota, Metazoa, Arthropoda, Insecta, Diptera, Tephritidae. The transcript is spliced from 2 exons. The record is from RefSeq and is a predicted model, not a curated record.
UGUUACGGACGAAAAGCAGAAUUAAGAAUAAAGAAACAAGCAUCGAAAAUAAACAAAACCAAAAAAAAAAACAACAACGAAAAAUAAAGUGUAACACUCACUGCUUUAAUCAAGUUCAAGAAACCAGUUCGGAAGCAACAAGCGUCAAGCGUCAUUUCAAAUACCAACCGUCACACUGCUGAUCAGCUGGCUUAUUUCGUUGACGUUGCUUUGUGGAUACCUUUAUUGGUUGUGGAGCAGAGAGUGGGAGUGCUAAAGUAAGUGUGGAAAGCAAUGCAUAGAAUGCUGGAAGUGCAUACAUACGAUUAUGUAUGUGUGGGUACUGAAACACUUGAUUACUCAACAUCAUUCAAUGGAGUUACAAAGCAAAUAGUAGGUAGAUAGCAGUCGCAACCCAACAAACAGACAUACCUACUUAACAACAAACAAAUAAACUCGAAGCUGCAGUGAAGAGCGCACGAGAGUACCGCAGAGAACCAGUGAGCUGGGUACUGAAUAGGGUCUAUAGUAGUAAACUUCAUAUAGGGAAACCGGCUACAAGUGUGCAGUCAACACAUGCACAUACAAUACAUACACAUACAUACGCACGUGUGGGCACGAAGGGACGGUACUUGCUGUUAAACAAAAAUGAGUAUUAAGUAGCAAUAAAAAAUGAAUAAAAUGAAAUAAUGAUCAACUAA